Transfer RNA from Ipomoea nil (Japanese morning glory), 82 nucleotides. It matches the Rfam family "tRNA". From Rfam's summary of the family: Transfer RNA (tRNA) molecules are approximately 80 nucleotides in length. NCBI's taxonomy places the organism in Eukaryota, Viridiplantae, Streptophyta, Magnoliopsida, Solanales, Convolvulaceae. The record is from Rfam.
GUGGGCGUGGCGGAGUGGUUAUCGGGCAUGAGUAGAAAUCAUGUGGGCUUUACUCGUACAGGUUCGAAUCCUACCGCUCACG